This 468-nucleotide ribosomal RNA is filed under the name uncultured bacterium. RNAcentral's name for it is "partial 16S ribosomal RNA". It matches the Rfam family "Bacterial small subunit ribosomal RNA", at positions 28 to 507 of the family's 1533-position model. The record is from RNAcentral.
GACGAACGCUGGCGGCGUGCUUAACACAUGCAAGUCGAACGGUGAAGCUCCAGCUUGCUGGGGUGGAGCAGUGGCGAACGGGUGUAUAACGCGUGAGCAACCUGCCCCUGACUCUGGAAUAAGCGCGGGAAACGGCGUCUUAUACUGGAUACGAGUAGUGCGGGCACGUGCACUUUCUAGAAAGUUAUGCGGUUGGGGAUGGGCUCGCGGCCUAUCAGCUUGCUGGUGAGGUAAUGGCUCACCAAGGCGACGACGGGUAGCCGGCCUGAGAGGGCGACCGGCCAAACUGGGACUGAGACACGGCCCAGAAUCCUACGGGAGGCAGGAGUGGGGAAUAAUGCACAAUGGGCGAAAGCCUGAUGCAGCGACGCCGCGUGAGGGAUAACGGCCUUCGGGUUGUAAACCGCUUUCUGCAGGGAAGAAGAGAAAGUGACGGUACCUGCAGAAGAAGCACCGGCUAACUACGUG